ACUUUUGUUUGGCCGCAUGUCCUUUAUGUGACUGAAUUAGUCAAAGCCAUACUCACAAUCCAAAAGGACAAAUAGGAAACGAAACUUAAGAAUAAUGUAUGUUAUAAGCAUCAAUAUGAGCUUUGCUUAUUUAUAAAAUAAAGAAACCAUAACCUUAGCUUAGCCAUCAUUACAUGCUUUUAUUGUGAGCACAAUCUCAUGUCAUUAAAAAUCAUAAAUAAAGUUAGAAAAUAUAUUCAGAAUUUGAUUUUUUUUUUUUUUUUGAAGAACUAAAAAAAGGCUGGAAUCUAGAUUUCGCAAUUUUUAUACUUUAAUUGGAUUAACAGGCCCAGCUAACCUAUAGUUUCUAAAGUUGAAAAAUUAAAAAUUUGGGGCCAAAUUGUCUAAAGUUUGAGAAGCUUCAAAGAGACAAAAGAAUAAGCAUAUUUGAUAUUUGGUAUCACCUAUAGUUUCUAACAUUGGAAGCUACUGUGAACACAUCAGGGAAUUUGGGCUGGAAUGAUAUUUGGCGGCACUGCAGUCCAAACCUUGAUACUAGCCAUCAUUACCAUGCGGUGCGACUGGGAUAGAGAGGUACCUCCAUUCCUUAAAAAUCUUUUUGGAGUCGUCGUCUUUUAGUAUCACAACUUGGGAUGAAUUAGCUUAGCCUUUAACUUUAUGGUUUUUUUUUCUUUUUUUUGGUGAAUCUUUAGGCGGAGAAAGCAGCCACGGCUUUAAGGAACAUAAAAUAAGAGAAUCGAUCCGGGCCAAGUUGGUUGGAAAUGCUAGUAAACCUUUUUUUUUUGGGGUCCUUUAUAAAAAAUCAAGAAAUGUUAUAAUUUUCCAAACAAUUAUUAUUUGCUGAGCUUUGGGUGAAAAAGUUUCGAUAUUUUAAGGAAGCAGUUUCUGGGUAUUGUAUUGUGGUGAUAUUUAUCGGGGCUAUUUUGAAAUUUGGAGAAGUGUGGAGUGAAAUAAAGUUAUUAAAUUUUGCUAUAUCAGUUACUGUAUAGAAUGUAGCCCCCACCCAUACAUUUAUAUUUUUUAUCGUGUAUUUGUAAUUUUUUUUUUUUGAAAGGGUGUAUUUGUAAUAGUUGGUAACUAAAAGAACUUUAUUAUUUUUAUUUUGCAAUCUCAAAAUAAUUGACAAUAAAAAAAAUAGUAGAUUCUCCUUAAAUUUACAAAAAAUUAAUUCCUAGUUAAAUAUGAUAAAUUUGGGAUUUAUAAUUUAGGGGUGGUCACGGAUCGGAUUUUACAGCUUGGACAUCAAUUUAUAUUUGAUUCACGAUUUUGCGGAUUAUAAAUUUUUAAUCUAAUUCAAUCUACGAAUUGGUGAAAUUCAAUCCAUACGUUUGUGGGUUGGUUUUCGAGUUAAAAUUUUUUAAUUAUGUCCUAUCUAUGAACUAAUUAAAUACAAAAAUUAUUUUUCUACCGAUCAAAUUUAAAAUUAAAUAAGAUUUAAAUAAAUUAAUUGUUUAAAUAAAGUUAGAAAAUAUAUUCGUUAAAAAAAUUUCAUUUGUUUAAAUCAGUACAUGAAAAUUAACUACUUAAGAAGUUAUAUAUUUUUAUUUUAUAUUAUUACCGGAUGAUAUACAAUAUGAUGUUAAUGUAAUUAUAUUUUAAUUCAUUUAUUUAUUAGUAAGUAUAAUACUAAUAAGUAUUAUUACCUAACUAUAAAAAAUUAUUACUUAAUUUUUUAUUAAGUAAAUUUUUUUUAUUCUUUUUGCGGAUUCACAGAUUUUUUUGAAUUUACAGAAGUAAAUCUAUAUCCAAUCCAACAACCCACAUAUUCGAUUUUGACGGAUCGAAUUUUUAUAGAUUAUACGGAUUGAGCGGAUCGGAUUGGAUUUUGAACACUCUUAAUUUAUAUGUAAAGAUGUAUGUUUGAAUUAUAUGAAAGGACAAAAUUAAAACUUAAUACUUUUAGAAAAACUACUCUUUCAAAAUCUAUUCUAAGAUGGCAUAAUUUUGUUAAACGUGAUUUUAAAAAAUUUAUCAAAAACUAAAAUUUAUUUGUAGAAUCUCAAAAUAUCCUGAACCUCACGACAAAAUUCUACUGAUAUAAAUAGCUUCACUAUCUAUCUAAAUUUUAAUUGUUGUAAAGUUGGCCUAAUUUGUAAUAUUCCUAUUGUAUUUAUGAAUAUAGCUGUAAUUCCUUUUGAAACUAAAAUAAGCACAAUUCUUUAAAAGGAUUCUUUUCAUUAAUUUGAAUUUUCAGUUAAGUUAUGAACACAAGAUUUAUUUUUUAUUGAAGAUGUAUAAUUAUUAAAAAAUUUAAUAUUAAUAUACAAAAAUAAUUUGUAAAAUUAUAUAGUAUAAAUUUGUAAAAAAAAAUAUUUGCUCCUCUAUUUGAAUUUAGUGACCAUUCAUUCUCAUUUGAUUUGGAGUAAAUUAAACUAACAAAUUGUUCAAAAAAGGAAAAUUGAGAAGGAUUGAUUUGUUAGGGAUUUUAGGACAUAUUUUGUUUAAAGAAAUAUAGAGAAGAGAGGAGAGGAAAGGAGGGGAAAAAAAGAGAGGAGAAAAAUGAACUUUUGUUGAACCGAACAAUAAAAAUGAGAUUAAUUGUCCUCUUUUUUUCACUCAUUUUCAACCAGGAAACUAUCUUCAGACAUCCCAACCUUCAUCUUUACCAAAAAACCACCUUCUGCAGAGAUCUGAUAUUGUUUUGGGUUGAAUCAAGAUCAUACCAAAAUACUUAUAGUUACUUUUCGGUGAUUAUAAAUCACAGUUUGGAGAAUUAGUACAACAGAAUAUUGAUAUUGAUAUUUGGCGGCACUGCAGUCCAAACCUUGAUACUAGCCAUCAUUACCAUGCGGUGCGACUGGGAUAGAGAGGUACCUCCAUUCCUUAAAAAUCUUUUUGGAGUCGUCGUCUUUUAGUAUCACAACUUGGGAUGAAUUAGCUUAGCCUUUAACUUUAUGGUUUUUUUUUCUUUUUUUUGGUGAAUCUUUAGGCGGAGAAAGCAGCCACGGCUUUAAGGAACAUAAAAUAAGAGAAUCGAUCCGGGCCAAGUUGGUUGGAAAUGCUAGUAAACCUUUUUUUUUGGGGUCCUUUAUAAAAAAUCAAGAAAUGUUAUAAUUUUCCAAACAAUUAUUAUUUGCUGAGCUUUGGGUGAAAAAGUUUCGAUAUUUUAAGGAAGCAGUUUCUGGGUAUUGUAUUGUGGUGAUAUUUAUCGGGGCUAUUUUGAAAUUUGGAAAAGUGUGGAGUGAAAUAAAGUUAUUAAAUUUUGCUAUAUCAGUUACUGUAUAGAAUGUAGCCCCCACCCAUACAUUUAUAUUUUUUUAUCGUGUAUUUGUAAUUUUUUUUUUUGAAAGGGUGUAUUUGUAAUAGUUGGUAACUAAAAGAACUUUAUUAUUUUUAUUUUGCAAUCUCAAAAUAAUUGACAAUAAAAAAAAAGUAGAUUCUCCUUAAAUUUACUAAAAAUUAAUUCCUAGUUAAAUAUGAUAAAUUUGGGAUUUAUAAUUUAGGGGUGGUCAUGGAUCGAAUUUUACAGAUUGGACAUCAAUUUAUAUCUGAUUCACGAUUUUGCGGAUUAUAAGUUUUUAAUCCAAUUCAAUCCACGAAUUGAUGAAAUUCAAUCCAUACGUUUGUGGGUUGGUUUGCGAGUUAAAAAUUUUUAAUUAUGUCAUAUCUAUGAACUAAUUAAAUACAAAAAUUAUUUUUCUAC
This 3643-nucleotide long non-coding RNA is filed under the name Citrus x clementina. Its description in RNAcentral is "Citrus clementina (C. clementina) long non-coding RNA (CCLE_LNC001325)". The record is from RNAcentral. Lineage: Eukaryota; Viridiplantae; Streptophyta; Magnoliopsida; Sapindales; Rutaceae.